CAGAUAAGCCUGGGCAGGAUGGAGACAGGAAGCGCUUGGCGUCGACCCGAAGAAGAUGUUCUGUUUUAAACUAUGUUAAAAGUCAUUGUGGUUUAGGCUGACGUAUGCUGUAUUAAAUCUGCCUGACAAAAGGAAGACUGCCAACCCUAUAAAACCUUUGUCUAAUUGUUGUAAGUUCAGUUCGACGCUGAAAUCUGCACAGCGUUGGACUCACACAUGUGUUCAUUAAAAUGCCGUCAAAUUGCACACCGGACCGGAUCUGUGGUUAUUUUUAGAUUCCUCUCUCAACAUUGAACCCUAACAGUACAGACAAGGAGCAAUAAAUCCUACAUGAUUGGUGUUUCAGUGAAUGAUGUCAGCUCAUACUUCUUGACUUCGUUUGAUAACCAUUUUCACACUACGUAUCUCACCCCACAGAUCUGCUGUGGUAGAAGAAGAAGAGCUGAAAUCAGUCAAGGAAAGGCUCAGAGAGAUGGAAGUGAAAUAUGACCAGACAAGAGCAGCUCUAAAUGACAAAGAUGAAGAACUAAAAUCAUUCAAAGACAGAGUGGCAAGAGAGGUCGCCCUUUCACUAAAGACGGGGAAAAACACAGAGAGCAUGAACAACCCAGUCAGUAAAACCAGGCUUAUACAGAUGUAUGAAGAGCUGAGGCUGGAGUGGCCAUAGGUCAAAAAACACCUGAAAUCCAAUAAUGGAAACUCUGAGUCAGUCAGAGUCGACAUUCAGGUUGAAGAGUUCAGACUGCUAACGGUACAGAACCUGCAGCUGGCCGUCUACCACACCAGGACACAGCCUGACCCAAAGGCGAAAGAUGAAACCCCUCAGAACGUGGUGGAGCAGUUUAACUCUGAAUGUUACUGGCUCGGCUGUUUGAUGGCUUUAAACGGUCCUCUUCACCCUGACUGGGACAAUCACGUUCCGGGGAUGGACGCUUGGGACAUUUUCCCACGAAAAACUGCGAAAACGUUCUGUCCAGGAUCACAAAUACUGCAUAACCUUAAUCUUCAUUCAUGUAUUAUGCUUAAUCCUUUAAAACCUGAACCAUGAAAUAACUGCCAGAAACAUUUAAUUUUUUUCAUAAUGCAGUGUUUGUUGAGCCUUUAGACAAAAUAUAUAACAAUACAUCAAAUUUUAAUCUGCAUAUAUAUGAUUUUUCAUUUGUACCACAUUUGCUACAUUAGCCAUAUUUUUGCAAUUUAGUCAUUAAAAAUGCGUCAUGUAAUUUAUAUCAUUUUUUGAGGGUAAAAAAGUCCCACUGAUGAUGUAGAAGCCUCAAAAACACACGUGUCAAAUACGAUACUCUGGGCUUUAAAGGGCUAAUUAGAGUGAUUGGUUAGUUUUCAGUUUGACACUGAUUUCUAUCUGGAGUUGUGCUUCUUUGGUUUUUGUUGUUGUUAUAUUAUAAAGAUGAUGCGACACUCACCAAAAUCCUUUCCAGGAUAUCCCAAAGAUUCUCAGUCUGGUAAAGAUCUCGACUGCACGGCGUCCAUGUGGGAAAGUGCUCUCUUGUGUUCACUCUUUCACAGUUUGAGCCUCAGCAUCAUCUUGGAAUAUCCCCAUUCCAAAAAUCCCAGAAAGCAAAACAAAAAAAGUAGUCAGCUGACUUUUUCUUUUGGCACAAAGUGUUGUUGCUUAGCCUAGAGCUCCGAUCUAAGAGAAAGCUCAAUCCAUACUGCAGGGUGAGGUGGUGUCGAGGCCAUUUUAAACACAUGAAAAAAUGCAGAAUUGUGAGUUCUGAGUUCACGAGCUUUAAAAUGCAUACAAACGAAAGAGAGAAUGAAAUGUUUGCAUAGCAGAGAUCAUAUUUAGUGUAAACAGUUUUGUGUCUCUUCCGGUGCGUCCAGCUGUUCAUCCAGGUGAGCUGCAGGAAACUUCAGCCUGCAAAUCAUCAAAAACUGAUCCAUCCUGAGAUGAUCUCUAACCACUGACAGCAAGCUGAGCAGUUUCAGGGCCACUAAAUGAAACUGAAAUCUUGUCACGUUAACCAAAGCUUCAUCGUAUCCAUCCAUCUUUUGUGAACAAUAAAUGUAUUUAGAGGUUUCUGAUGUUCGUGUGUUUAAGUCGUGUAGCUGAAUAUAUGAUUAUUUUCUCUUUAAGCCAUUGAACGGUUGUGGAAGCGCUCAUUCUUAGACCAGUGAUUCAUCCAUCUAUUCUAUGCUGCGUAUCCUUGUCAGGGUCGUGGGGUUAGGGUUCGCCUAUCCCAGCUGCCAUAGGGUGAGAGGCAGGUCACGGGGCUAACACACAGAGACAGGCAACCAUUCACACCUGUGGGCCAUUUAGAUUCACCCACUAAUCCUAACCCCACUAACUGCAUGUCUGUGGACUGUGGGAGGAAGAACCCGGAGAGAACAUUAAAAAACUCCACACAGAAAGACCCGGCCAGGUGUUGGAAUCAAACUCACGACCUUCUUGCUAAUCACCGUGCACUAUGCUGCCAUGAAUCAGUCAUUCAUGAUUUAAAAUUAUUAAUGCUCUUUGUUCAGGUUGGAGUGAUGAAAUAAUAAUGAAAAACAAAGAAAAGUAAACUAAUAUGACAGUAACUCCGUCACACAGUGCUCUGUAACGACUGGAUCAUACAUUAAUGUCACAGAAACAAAAGUAAAAAUCAGACUGUGUAUUUGUAAAGUCGUGUUUUACUUUUACUUUACAUCAGUGAAUGCAGAUAAAGUUCAUCAAUGAAUGAAAGGAAGUUUCAUUUUUAUUGGCAUGUGGGUUUGUUGCAGUACUCCUGAGCGCCUUUAGAGAGCGCUGUUG
Molecule: long non-coding RNA, 2755 nt
Organism: Oreochromis aureus
Lineage: Eukaryota; Metazoa; Chordata; Actinopteri; Cichliformes; Cichlidae
Source: Ensembl